Non-coding RNA from Biomphalaria pfeifferi, 757 nucleotides. The record is from the annotation of a GenBank genome assembly. Lineage: Eukaryota; Metazoa; Mollusca; Gastropoda; Planorbidae.
AGAAGCCUUAAACCAGAUGGUGACUAAGGGAUUACGAGGCAGAGAAGCCUUAAACCAGAUGGUGACCAAGGGAUUACGAGGUAGAGGAAGGGGCCUUCCGCCCCAGUCCUAAAAGAAAAUGUAAAAUUAUUUUUUGUGGCUGUACUUAUUCUUGCAGAUGUGAUAAUGAUUUCCAUCUCAAAUUGUCUGAAUUUAGGGGUCUGCACAAAAUUAUAUCAAAAAAUGUAUAUUAGUGAAAAAGUAAUGAAUGCUUUGCCAGCCAAUGUGAAAACAUUGAAUAGAUUAUGUCUUAUGGCUGUUAAGGAAAUAUUUGGCAUACUAUUUUUGUGUCCUUUUCUUGUGAACUUUAAUAAAUUCAAUGGUCCCCAUGCUAGCCAUGCCAAUUGAUCUCACUAAUAUAUUUAUUCUCAAGCAAGAAUGACUUAAUCUUAAGUUGUAUUACAAAAUCAACUGGGUCUUAUGCAGCUCAUGGCAAAACAGAAUAGUUAUGAUUUAGUAAGUUAAGAUUAAAUUGCCUAUCUUUAAGUGGCUUUGCCAAAACAUGUAUCAGCCACUGCAUAUGUUUGUGAAAUAGUGCUAGUCAGAGCACUUUGUUGAUAUUAAGUUUGGAAUUAGAAUUGACAUGUUUUUGUUAACUUUGUUUCUUUUUGUUGUUUGAUAAGUUUAUAACAAACAUUUCAUUAUUUCAAAUUUGAAGUUUGUUAUUUUAUAUUCAACCUGUUAUAAAUUUGUUAAUAAAAUUAACUAUUUAAAUCUU